Molecule: unclassified non-coding RNA, 345 nt
Filed under: soil metagenome
Description: partial contains 5.8S ribosomal RNA, internal transcribed spacer 2, and large subunit ribosomal RNA
Rfam family: 5.8S ribosomal RNA (bases 1-120)
Source: RNAcentral
GAUGUAGAACGCAGCGAAAUGCGAUACGUAAUGUGAAUUGCAGAAUUCAGUGAAUCAUCGAGUCUUUGAACGCACAUUGCGCCCUCUGGUAUUCCGGAGGGCAUGCCUGUCCGAGCGUCAUUGCUGCCCUCAAGCACGGCUUGUGUGUUGGGCUCCGUCCCCCGAUCCCGGGGGACGGGCCCGAAAGGCAGCGGCGGCACCGCGUCCGGUCCUCGAGCGUAUGGGGCUUUGUCACCCGCUCUGUAGGCCCGGCCGGCGCUUGCCGAUCAACCAAAUUUUUAUCCAGGUUGACCUCGGAUCAGGUAGGGAUACCCGCUGAACUUAAGCAUAUCAAUAAGCGGAGGA